UGGGGAAUUUUGGACAAUGGGCGCAAGCCUGAUCCAGCCAUGCCGCGUGUCUGAAGAAGGCCUUCGGGUUGUAAAGGACUUUUGUCAGGGAAGAAAAGCUUGAGGCUAAUACCCUUGAGUGAUGACGGUACCUGAAGGAUAAGCACCGGCUAACUACGUGCCAGCAGCCGCGGUAAUACGUAGGGUGCGAGCGUUAAUCGGAAUUACUGGGCGUAAAGCGGGCGCAGACGGUUACUUAAGUCAGAUGUGAAAUCCCCGGGCUCAACCUGGGAACUGCGUUUGAAACUGGGUGGCUAGAGUAUGUCAGAGGGGGGUAGAAUUCCACGUGUAGCAGUGAAAUGCGUAGAGAUGUGGAGGAAUACCGAUGGCGAAGGCAGCCCCCUGGGAUAAUACUGACGUUCAUGCCCGAAAGCGUGGGUAGCAAACAG
RNAcentral lists this ribosomal RNA (428 nucleotides) under uncultured bacterium. RNAcentral's name for it is "bacterial SSU rRNA". It matches the Rfam family "Bacterial small subunit ribosomal RNA", at positions 355 to 775 of the family's 1533-position model. The record is from RNAcentral.